This 76-nucleotide ribosomal RNA is filed under the name Psathyrella merdicola. Its description in RNAcentral is "partial 28S ribosomal RNA". The record is from RNAcentral. Lineage: Eukaryota; Fungi; Basidiomycota; Agaricomycetes; Agaricales; Psathyrellaceae.
AGACAACUUUUUGACAAUUUGACCUCAAAUCAGGUAGGACUACCCGCUGAACUUAAGCAUAUCAAUAAGCGGGAGG